GGAAUUUGAUUAUUUUUCUCCUUUGGGUCUUUAGAUUUUUAUGUAGAGGGAAAAACUGAUAACUUCCAAUAUUAACUUCUGUCUAUCAGGAAAAGUGUGGUGUUUUAAAAGUUAAACUCAGAAAACCAGCACGGCAAAAUAUCAAACCAUAGGCUACUCAUCUAUAGUAGAAAACUUAUCACCACUUGCUGCAUUGUAGCACACACAAAUAAG
RNAcentral lists this unclassified non-coding RNA (213 nucleotides) under Hevea brasiliensis (rubber tree). Lineage: Eukaryota; Viridiplantae; Streptophyta; Magnoliopsida; Malpighiales; Euphorbiaceae. The record is from RNAcentral.